RNAcentral lists this non-coding RNA (31 nucleotides) under Homo sapiens (human). Lineage: Eukaryota; Metazoa; Chordata; Mammalia; Primates; Hominidae. The record is from RNAcentral.
UGGACUUUGAAACCCCUUCCUCCUCCCUGGC